RNAcentral lists this unclassified non-coding RNA (1748 nucleotides) under Hevea brasiliensis (rubber tree). The record is from RNAcentral. Lineage: Eukaryota; Viridiplantae; Streptophyta; Magnoliopsida; Malpighiales; Euphorbiaceae.
CUUCAAUGAGUUCAGAUAUUUGAUUUAUUCAUGCACGUAAAUGUAAUCAAAUGUAUCCUUUCCAAAUCCAAAUUUCAGAAAUUUCUUAAAUGUAAAUAUACAGUUUUCAUAUAUCGUUGAAUUGAACCUCAAUAGAUUUUGAGGGAAAGCUACACUUACUUGCGGGAAGAAUGUGUCCAACUACUGGGAAAUACGCUUUCGAGGCUGGUAAUCCCACGUGCUCCAACCAGCAAGAACUUCUAAUUCCAGCAGCAACCCUUCAAUCUUUGCAACUAAGCUCUGAUGCCACUGCUGUGCCAUUGUAAAUUCAAAUUCUAUAAAGGAUAUUUUCCCAGUAUAUGCAAGUCCAUAGCCAAAUUGCAACCUCUUUGAGUUCAGUUUUCCUGCUUCUUUAAGUUAAUCCAGUCAAAUGGGUAUCGUAAUUAUCUACCUUCCAAACAAUUGUCUUCUUAAUGCUGUAACUAUUCUAUGGAGAACCUCAUAGUUUUCAGCAAGAUAACGAGCUGCAUGUUUGUCACUGAUAACAUCUCCUUCAAUAAGGUAGUUGCUUCCUUCUUUGAUGAUGACUUGAUGUUCACAAGCCAACUCCAAGAUCUCAGAUUCACAGCAAAAGCCUCUCCCAAACUGUAUCCCAAUAUCAGCUUUUUUCAUAGCAGGCGCCAAUUUAUUUUUCACCACUUGCACAGACACUGCAAGGCCACUUACCUUAUCCUCAGUCUUGAGCAAUCCUGUUUUGACCAUUCUCAACCGCACAGCAGAAUAGAAUUUUAAGGCAUUUCCCCCGCAAGUGUCCUCACCCACACAUACUAGACCUUGUCCUGACUUUAAAUUUGAUCUAGUCUGAUUAAGAAAUACAAUAAGUGUUUUAGACUGGCAUAAAGAAUAAUGGAUUUUCCGGAGUCCUUGGCUAAUUAUUCUUGAUUGCAUGUCCUCCAUCCUUAUUAUCGAAGUAUCAAGCUCACGUUGGGGGACAAGAGCAGCUACACUAUCAACCACAAUCACAUCGACAGACCCACUCUUGGUCAGUGUGUCAACUACACUCAGCAACCUUUCAGCUGAAUCUGGAGGUGAAAUAAGAAGAUCUUCUGUGUUUACUCCCAUUGAUUCUACAAGUGAAGCGUCCAAUGCAUUCUCAGCAUCAAGAUAUGCACAAUAUCCACCCAGUUUUUGAGCUUCCUUGAUAAUAUGAAGUGCAAGCGUUGUCUUCCCAGAAGCUUCUCGCCCAUAGAUCUCAAUCAUUCUUCCCUUAGGUAAUCCUCCAAUGCCAAGAGCGAGAUCAAGCUUCAAUGAGCCUGUAGGUAUCACAGGAGCAUGCCGUGAGCUGAAAAACCGUUGCAAAGACAACAUAGACUCUCUACCAAAUUCACCAGCAAGUUGAGUGAGAGCCAGACGAAGUGCAGCAUCUUUCUCUUUCGCUUCACCAUGAUCAUGGCGUUGAUCACAUUCAAAAAAAUCUGAAAAGUUUGCUACAGAACAAAGAAGCCGGGCUUUGCUCCCAAUACAAGUGGCAGCAUCUAUUCUUCGGUUCUGGCAGAAAAUGAGGUCAUAAUAUCUGAGGGAGAGGAGGGCAGAGAGAGCAAAGGCGAAAUCUUGAGAAAGAAUUGAUAAGAAAAGAGUGAAGGAAUGGCACCAUUUCUUUGUGAUAAGGUUUAGAUUUUAUAAGGAAAUAAAUUUCAGAUAUUGAGUUUUGAAGAAGGCAUCGGCGCCAUCUCCUCUCUGUUCUCUGCUGCGAGGGAUUUCAGUUUUUA